This 526-nucleotide unclassified non-coding RNA is filed under the name Hevea brasiliensis (rubber tree). The record is from RNAcentral. Lineage: Eukaryota; Viridiplantae; Streptophyta; Magnoliopsida; Malpighiales; Euphorbiaceae.
GGAAUUGAAAUGAACAAGAAAGGGAUUCUUGAGUUUUCUUGCAAUCCCUUUCUUAGGAUUUCAAUUCUUAAUUCUAGUUAGGUUUAUUUUAGUGGGAACACCAGAAAAAAGUUGGAUCAAGAUGACAUUUGUACAACAUGGUUUUAAAUGCAAAGAGUUUUGGAAAGAAAAAUUCAAUUUUGUCUGAUAAUUUUGUAAGUCGGUUAACUGUCUUGAACUUCAACCUUCAUGUCUUCCAAGACCGGCAUGAUUUUUCUUUGAGGCUGAGGCUGAAAUUUACAGUAACUGUAGGGGCGUUGACAUGAAAAAUUCAACAUGGAAGCUUCUUAUAUCUGAUUAAAACUUCUCAAUCAUCAGGACAAGUUUUAGUGCUUGAUCUUGAUCAGCCAAGCCAAUCAUGAGAGUUGCUAUUUGCCCUGCUUUCUAGCUAGUUCUGCAAUCCUGUGUAUUAUAUGCCCUGCACUCUUGCUAGUCCUAGGGUAAUAAUGUUGAAGAAGCGUUUUGAAAGCCAGAAUUUUUAUCAUUU